CCAGUGACUCAAUAUGAUUAACAAUAGGCAUGCAAAGCCUCUCAGGGGGGUUGCCAUCCAAGAAUGCCAUCUUUGAUCCAUUUUUCUCCUGUUGGUGAAUUUUCCACGCAUUUGUAACAAGCUAUUUUAAAUGUUGUAAUACCAUAUUUUCCUUCUAUUUUGUAUAACCUUAACUGAAUGUAAAUGAAUAAACAUGACUACCCAACUGUGUAUAUACCAAUGAACCUUAUUUGUAAUACAAAUUACAAAAGGAUCACAACCUCAGAUGCUUCUAGUAUAUGAGAGUUAUAAGAAAACAUGCGAUCUUAAAUGUGACUGGAGAACAUCCGAUGCAUGAAAAUAAAAAUUACACAUCUGUUACUCAAUCUAUAUAACCUAAUUCACCAAAAGGACCCAAGAUAUUAACCCUUUAUACAUAUCUCAAGCAGAAAUAAAAAGGGAAAAAGAAGAAAAGGCAGUUUUUUUUUUUUCGAAUUCCUUUUAACUUUAUUUAUCAAACAAUGAUAGAGGGUUUUUGUCAAAAUUCUCAUUGAUAAUUUAAAAAAUGAAAGUCAUUUGAAACAUACAUACAAAUAUAGAUAGCUGUAUACAUAUAUGAUUUAUUGCUUGAUGAUCAUUUUGAAGGCAGUAAUGGCAGCUUUUGGCCAAAAAGAAAAGGUAUAUGUUGCCACCUAUGGUAUUAGAACCAGGGGGGAACUGUACCCAUCCCUCUGUUGCCAACAGAGGAAGAGAGAUAUAUAUGCUUACAUAUUGCCUAAAAGAUAGCUUUGUCAUGGAAAUUCCUAGUCUCUUGAAAAUUUCAGGCUGAAAACUAUUGGAACACCUAAAAAUAGCAUGUAAACUUAAUUCCCAUUUUAAAAGAAAAUGUAGCCAUAAUAAACAAGAACAAAUUGUAAUGUUUACUUGAUGUGUCCAAGUUUCACAUUUAUAGAUUCCUUUGGUACCCAACCAACGUCAUUACUAGUGACAUACAGAGCAGGGUUUCUGUUAAUAGUCAAGAAAAAUUUAAACACACAUCAUUUUAAUUAUUUUGUUGCUGACCGUGUUUCCAAUAUAAUCAAAUUUCCAAAAUAGGAGUAAACUAGGGUACCAUACCUGCAGAAAUCGAUUCAAAGCAAUCAAUAUACACUGCAUUGAAAGUUCAUCUGGGUUAAUGAAGUUCAGUGCCUUUGACAUGGCAAUAAACACAUUGUCA
This 1195-nucleotide long non-coding RNA is filed under the name Theobroma cacao (cacao). Its description in RNAcentral is "long non-coding RNA (TCAC_LNC002712)". Lineage: Eukaryota; Viridiplantae; Streptophyta; Magnoliopsida; Malvales; Malvaceae. The record is from RNAcentral.